Molecule: long non-coding RNA, 216 nt
Filed under: Mytilus galloprovincialis (Mediterranean mussel)
Lineage: Eukaryota; Metazoa; Mollusca; Bivalvia; Mytilida; Mytilidae
Source: RNAcentral
AGGGGGUAAACCUUGGUUCAGGGAGAUAACUCUGUAAAUCAGUUAUGCGUUUGUAAAAGUCAAGAUCAUCAAUGUAUUUUAAGCAUUUACCUGAAACAGAUUGAAAAUAAUCUAUGUAACCUAGAAGCUUAGAAUAUAUUUUUGAAAAUGGUUGACACAAACGUACUGAUGAUUUUAAGAGUUAUUUCCCUUAACCUAGGUCUACCUCCUUAAUGU